This 204-nucleotide long non-coding RNA is filed under the name Danio rerio (zebrafish). Its description in RNAcentral is "si:ch73-345h12.2 (ENSDARG00000102397.2)". Lineage: Eukaryota; Metazoa; Chordata; Actinopteri; Cypriniformes; Danionidae. The record is from RNAcentral.
CACAGAGCCAUUUACCGUUUCACUCAGGUGAAGAAGGAUUUGGACAAAUAAAGGACGAGGAUGAAUAAUGGGUGAAUAAUUCCUGGCAAAUCCACAGGACGACUGCGCGGCGCUUGAUUACGAGUCCUGCUCUGUUCGAGUCUUUAUGGGGAAGAAAAAAAGAAAUUAAAACAGAAAUAUAAAAUGAAAGUUCAUGAGGGCUGC